GAUGAACGCUGGCGGCGUGCCUAAUACAUGCAAGUCGAGCGAACAGAUGAGGAGCUUGCUCCUCUGACGUUAGCGGCGGACGGGUGAGUAACACGUGGAUAACCUACCUAUAAGACUGGGAUAACUUCGGGAAACCGGAGCUAAUACCGGAUAAUAUAUUGAACCGCAUGGUUCAAUAGUGAAAGACGGUUUUGCUGUCACUUAUAGAUGGAUCCGCGCCGCAUUAGCUAGUUGGUAAGGUAACGGCUUACCAAGGCAACGAUGCGUAGCCGACCUGAGAGGGUGAUCGGCCCCACUGGACCUGAGACACGGUCCAGACUCCUACGGGAGGCAGCAGUAGGGAAUCUUCCGCAAUGGGCGAAAGCCUGACGGAGCAACGCCGCGUGAGUGAUGAAGGUCUUCGGAUCGUAAAACGCUGUUAUUAGGGAAGAACAAAUGUGUAAGUAACUAUGCACGUCUGGACGGUACCUAAUCAGAAAGCCACGGCUAACUACGU
RNAcentral lists this ribosomal RNA (496 nucleotides) under uncultured bacterium. Its description in RNAcentral is "partial 16S ribosomal RNA". It matches the Rfam family "Bacterial small subunit ribosomal RNA", at positions 28 to 506 of the family's 1533-position model. The record is from RNAcentral.